CUUGAGGGAGCCCAGCCACAGCGGGUCGGUGCCCUCGCGGCCCUGUCCGUAGGUGGCGAGGAGGGCCUGGGCCUC
RNAcentral lists this antisense RNA (75 nucleotides) under Streptomyces sp. 3211.6. RNAcentral describes it as "ASpks TB sRNA". It matches the Rfam family "ASpks TB sRNA". The record is from RNAcentral. Lineage: Bacteria; Bacillati; Actinomycetota; Actinomycetes; Kitasatosporales; Streptomycetaceae.